RNAcentral lists this ribosomal RNA (451 nucleotides) under uncultured bacterium. RNAcentral describes it as "bacterial SSU rRNA". It matches the Rfam family "Bacterial small subunit ribosomal RNA", at positions 9 to 507 of the family's 1533-position model. The record is from RNAcentral.
GAGUUUGAUCCUGGCUCAGAUUGAACGCUGGCGGCAUGCCUUACACAUGCAAGUCGAACGAGACCUUCGGGUCUAGUGGCGCACGGGUGCGUAACACGUGGGAAUUUGCCUCGGGGUAUGGAAUAACUCAGGGAAACUUGAGCUAAUACCAUAUAAUGUCUUCGGACCAAAGAUUUAUCGCCCUGAGAUAAGCCCGCGUAGGAUUAGCUAGUUGGUGAAGUAAAGGCUCACCAAGGCGACGAUCCUUAGCUGGUCUGAGAGGAUGAUCAGCCACACUGGGACUGAGACACGGCCCAGACUCCUACGGGAGGCAGCAGUGGGGAAUAUUGGACAAUGGGCGAAAGCCUGAUCCAGCAAUGCCGCGUGAGUGAUGAAGGCCUUAGGGUUGUAAAGCUCUUUACCCGAGAUGAUAAUGACAGUAUCGGGAGAAUAAGCUCCGGCUAACUCCGUG